Non-coding RNA from Bos taurus (domestic cattle), 110 nucleotides. The record is from Rfam. NCBI's taxonomy places the organism in Eukaryota, Metazoa, Chordata, Mammalia, Artiodactyla, Bovidae.
GUCUAUGGCCAUACCAUCCUGAACGCACUCCAUCUUGUCUGAUCUCAGAAGCUAAGCAGGGUUGGGCCUGGUUACGACUUGGAUGGGAGAACGUCUCUGUAAAGUAUAGC